UACGUAGGCAGCAAACGUUGUUCGGAAUUACUGGGCGUAAAGAGUGUGUAGGCGGCUUUGUAAGUUCUGUGUGAAAUCUCCCGGCUCAACUGGGAGGGUGCGCCGAAAACUGCGAGGCUUGAGUACUGGAGAGGAUAGCGGAAUUCCUGGUGUAGCGGUGAAAUGCGUAGAUAUCAGGAGGAACACCGGCGGUGUAGACGGCUAUCUGGACAGUAACUGACGCUGAGACACGAAAGCGUGGGGAGCAAACAGG
This 253-nucleotide ribosomal RNA is filed under the name uncultured bacterium. RNAcentral describes it as "partial 16S ribosomal RNA". It matches the Rfam family "Bacterial small subunit ribosomal RNA", at positions 524 to 776 of the family's 1533-position model. The record is from RNAcentral.